This 465-nucleotide ribosomal RNA is filed under the name uncultured bacterium. RNAcentral describes it as "bacterial SSU rRNA". It matches the Rfam family "Bacterial small subunit ribosomal RNA", at positions 330 to 793 of the family's 1533-position model. The record is from RNAcentral.
UCCAGACUCCUACGGGAGGCAGCAGUGAGGAAUAUUGGUCAAUGGCCGCAGGGCUGAACCAGCCAAGUCGCGUGAGGGAUGACGGUCCUAUGGAUUGUAAACCUCUUUUGUCAGGGAGCAAAGGGCGCCACGUGUGGCGUUUUGCGAGUACCUGAAGAAAAAGCAUCGGCUAACUCCGUGCCAGCAGCCGCGGUAAUACGGAGGAUGCGAGCGUUAUCCGGAUUUAUUGGGUUUAAAGGGUGCGCAGGCGGAAUGUCAAGUCAGGGGUAAAAUUUCGGGGCUCAACCCCGUCGUGCCGUUGAAACUGGCGUUCUUGAGUGAGCGAGAAGUAUGCGGAAUGCGUGGUGUAGCGGUGAAAUGCUUAGAUAUCGCGCAGAACCCCGAUUGCGAAGGCAGCGUACCGGCUCCACACUGACGCUGAGGCACGAAAGCGUGGGUAUCGAACAGGAUUAGAUACCCCAGUAA